UUUUAUAGCCAAGCUGCUGUGGUUGUGCCUGAUCUCAUAGGUUAGGCAGGGUCAAGCCUGGUCAGUGCUCGGACAGGGGACCACCUGAGAAUACCUGAUGCUGUUGCUA
RNAcentral lists this ribosomal RNA (109 nucleotides) under Monopterus albus (swamp eel). Lineage: Eukaryota; Metazoa; Chordata; Actinopteri; Synbranchiformes; Synbranchidae. The record is from RNAcentral.